CUGUCGUCAGCUCGUGUCGUGAGAUGUUGGGUUAAGUCCCGCAACGAGAACCAACCCUUCGCCAUUAGUUGCCAUCAUUAAGUUGGGCAAUGUAGUGGGACUGCCGGUGAUAAGCCGGAGGAAGGUGGGGAUGACGUCAAGUCAUCAAAGCCCUUACGGGCUGGGCUACACACGUGCUACAAUGGCGGUGACAGUGGGCAGCAACUCAGCAAUGGGAAGCUAAUCUCAAAAAGCCGUCUCAGUUCGGAUUGGUCUCUGCAACUCGAGACCAUGAAGUCGGAAUCGCUAGUAAUCGCGGAU
This 300-nucleotide ribosomal RNA is filed under the name uncultured Hyphomicrobium sp. Its description in RNAcentral is "bacterial SSU rRNA". It matches the Rfam family "Bacterial small subunit ribosomal RNA", at positions 1049 to 1349 of the family's 1533-position model. Lineage: Bacteria; Pseudomonadati; Pseudomonadota; Alphaproteobacteria; Hyphomicrobiales; Hyphomicrobiaceae. The record is from RNAcentral.